Molecule: ribosomal RNA, 497 nt
Filed under: uncultured bacterium
Lineage: Bacteria
Description: partial 16S ribosomal RNA
Rfam family: Bacterial small subunit ribosomal RNA
Source: RNAcentral
GAUGAACGCUGGCGGCGUGCCUAAUACAUGCAAGUCGAGCGAACGGAUGAGAAGCUUGCUUCUCUGAUGUUAGCGGCGGACGGGUGAGUAACACGUGGAUAACCUACCUAUAAGACUGGGAUAACUUCGGGAAACCGGAGCUAAUACCGGAUAAUAUUUUGAACCGCAUGGUUCAAAAGUAAAAGACGGUCUUGCUGUCACUUAUAGAUGGAUCCGCGCUGCAUUAGCUAGUUGGUAAGGUAACGGCUUACCAAGGCAACGAUGCAUAGCCGACCUGAGAGGGUGAUCGGCCACACUGGAACUGAGACACGGUCCAGACUCCUACGGGAGGCAGCAGUAGGGAAUCUUCCGCAAUGGGCGAAAGCCUGACGGAGCAACGCCGCGUGAGUGAUGAAGGUCUUCGGAUCGUAAAACUCUGUUAUUAGGGAAGAACAUAUGUGUAAGUAACUGUGCACAUCUUGACGGUACCUAAUCAGAAAGCCACGGCUAACUACGUG